Molecule: ribosomal RNA, 207 nt
Filed under: uncultured bacterium
Lineage: Bacteria
Description: partial 16S ribosomal RNA
Rfam family: Bacterial small subunit ribosomal RNA
Source: RNAcentral
CGUGUAGGCGGCCGAUUAAGUCUGGAGUGAAAGUCCUGCUUUCAAGGUGGGAAUUGCUUUGGAGACUGGUUGGCUUGAGUGCGGAAGAGGUAAGUGGAAUUCCCAGUGUAGCGGUGAAAUGCGUAGAGAUUGGGAGGAACACCAGUGGCGAAGGCGACUUACUGGGCCGUAACUGACGCUGAGGCGCGAAAGCGUGGGGAGCAAACA